UACGUAGGGUGCAAGCGUUGUCCGGAAUUAUUGGGCGUAAAGAGCUCGUAGGCGGUCUGUCGCGUCUGCUGUGAAAACUCGGGGCUUAACCCCGGGCCUGCAGUGGGUACGGGCAGGCUCGAGUUCGGUAGGGGAGACUGGAAUUCCUGGUGUAGCGGUGAAAUGCGCAGAUAUCAGGAGGAACACCGGUGGCGAAGGCGGGUCUCUGGGCAGUAACUGACGCUGAGGAGCGAAAGCGUGGGGAGCGAACAGG
Molecule: ribosomal RNA, 253 nt
Filed under: uncultured bacterium
Lineage: Bacteria
Description: partial 16S ribosomal RNA
Rfam family: Bacterial small subunit ribosomal RNA
Source: RNAcentral